CUACCAUGCAAGUCGAGCGCCCAGCAAUGGGAGCGGCAGACGGGUGAGUAACGCGUGGGGAUCUACCCAUUGGUACGGAAUAACCCAGGGAAACUUGGACUAAUACCGUAUGUGCCCUUCGGGGGAAAGAUUUAUCGCCAAUGGAUGAACCCGCGUCGGAUUAGCUAGUUGGUGGGGUAAAGGCUCACCAAGGCGACGAUCCGUAGCUGGUCUGAGAGGAUGAUCAGCCACACUGGGACUGAGACACGGCCCAGACUCCUACGGGAGGCAGCAGUGGGGAAUAUUGGACAAUGGGCGCAAGCCUGAUCCAGCCAUGCCGCGUGAGUGAUGAAGGCCUUAGGGUUGUAAAGCUCUUUCGCCGGUGAAGAUAAUGACGGUAACCGGAGAAGAAGCCCCGGCUAACUUCGUGCCAGCAGCCGCGGUAAUACGAAGGGGGCUAGCGUUGCUCGGAAUCACUGGGCGUAAAGCGCACGUAGGCGGAUCGUUAAGUCAGGGGUGAAAUCCUGGGGCUCAACCUCAGAACUGCCCUUGAUACUGGCGAUCUCGAGUUCGAGAGAGGUUGGUGGAACUCCGAGUGUAGAGGUGAAAUUC
RNAcentral lists this ribosomal RNA (591 nucleotides) under uncultured Xanthobacter sp. RNAcentral's name for it is "bacterial SSU rRNA". It matches the Rfam family "Bacterial small subunit ribosomal RNA", at positions 49 to 689 of the family's 1533-position model. The record is from RNAcentral. Lineage: Bacteria; Pseudomonadati; Pseudomonadota; Alphaproteobacteria; Hyphomicrobiales; Xanthobacteraceae.